CUCGUAGGUGGCCAACUAAGUCAGACGUGAAAUCCCCAGGCUUAACCUGGGAACUGCGUCUGAUACUGGAUGGCUUGAAUUCGGGAGAGGGAUGCAGAAUUCCAGGUGUAGCGGUGAAAUGCGUAGAUAUCUGGAGGAAUACCGGUGACGAAGGCGGCAUCCUGGACCGAGAUUGACACUGAUGAGCGAAAGCCAGGGGAGCAAACG
Molecule: ribosomal RNA, 207 nt
Filed under: uncultured bacterium
Lineage: Bacteria
Description: partial 16S ribosomal RNA
Rfam family: Bacterial small subunit ribosomal RNA
Source: RNAcentral